RNAcentral lists this ribosomal RNA (468 nucleotides) under uncultured bacterium. RNAcentral describes it as "partial 16S ribosomal RNA". It matches the Rfam family "Bacterial small subunit ribosomal RNA", at positions 28 to 507 of the family's 1533-position model. The record is from RNAcentral.
GACGAACGCUGGCGGCGUGCUUAACACAUGCAAGUCGAACGGAAAGGCCCUGCUUUUGUGGGGGGCUCGGGUGGCGAACGGGUGAGUAACACGUGAGUAACCUGCCCUUGACUUUGGGAUAACUUCAGGAAACUGGGGCUAAUACCGGAUAGGAGCUCCUGCUGCAUGGUGGGGGUGGGAAAGUGUCGGCGGUUGGGGAUGGACGCGCGGCUUAUCAGCUUGUUGGUGGGGUAGUGGCUUACCAAGGCUUUGACGGGUAGCCGGCCUGAGAGGGUGACCGGCCACAUUGGGACUGAGAUACGGCCCAGACUCCUACGGGAGGCAGCAGUGGGGAAUAGUGCACAAUGGGCGGAAGCCUGAUGCAGCAACGCCGCGUGCGGGAUGACGGCCUUCGGGUUGUAAACCGCUUUCGCCUGUGACGAAGCGUGAGUGACGGUAAUGGGUAAAGAAGCACCGGCUAACUACGUG